Molecule: long non-coding RNA, 6060 nt
Filed under: Vitis vinifera (wine grape)
Lineage: Eukaryota; Viridiplantae; Streptophyta; Magnoliopsida; Vitales; Vitaceae
Description: long non-coding RNA (VVIN_LNC005646)
Source: RNAcentral
GAUAAGUCAAAAUUUAAUCUCAUCGAGGCUGUUGCAAACACGCCUGUUGUGCUAAGCAAGAGGGAGAUGACCCACUCCUUUGUCCGAGCUUCCGAUGUUAUCGGGAGAGACGAUGAUAAAGAAAAUAUUGUUGGGCUUUUGAUGCAACCUAGCGAUACUGAGAAUGUUUCUGUAAUUCCCAUAGUCGGGAUUGGGGGGCUAGGCAAGACAACUCUGGCUGGACUUGUGUAUAAUGAUGAGAGAGUAGUGGGGCAAUUCUCCACUAAAAUGUGGGUUUGUGUGUCAGAUGAGUUUGAUAUUGAAAAGCUGGUAAAGAAAAUCCUUAAGGAGAUCAGGAAAGGUGAUGAAAGUUACAGUGACUCCUCCAUGGUGCAGUUGCAGAGUCAUCUUAGAAAUGCAUUAGAUGGUGAAAAAUUCUUGCUGGUUUUGGAUGAUGUGUGGAAUGCGGAUCGUGAGAAGUGGCUUAAGCUGAAAGACUUGCUCGUGGACGGUGCCAAUGGAAGCAAAAUUCUUGUAACUACACGCAAGAAGUCAACUGCUUCAAUCAUGGGCACUUUUCCCAUGCAAGAAAUAAAGGGUCUUUGUCAUGACGAUUGUUUGUCUUUAUUUGUGAAAUGCUCAUUUAGGGACGGAGAAGAUGAGUAUCCAAACCUUUUAAAAAUUGGGGAUCAGAUUGUUGAGAAAUGUGCAGGGGUUCCCCUUGCUGUGAGAAGUUUAGGGAGUUUACUGUAUUCGAAAAGGGAUGAAUGGGAUUGGGUAUCCAUUAGAGAUAGCGAAAUAUGGGAAUUAGAACAAAAUGAAGAUGGUAUUAUGGCUGCAUUAAGACUGAGCUAUUAUGAUUUGCCUUAUCACUUGAAGCAAUGCUUUGCUCUUUGUUCAGUAUUUGCCAAAGAUUUUGAAUUUAGUAAUGUUGAAUUGAUCUCAACUUGGAUGGCAGAAGGCCUCAUUCAUUCAUCGGGACAAAAUGCCAAAAUGGAGGAUAUUGGUGAGAGAUAUAUUAAUGAGCUAUUAUCGAGAUCUUUCUUUCAAGAUGUUGAGCAACGGAUACCAGGAGUAUUAUAUACAUUCAAAAUGCAUGAUCUUGUACAUGAUCUUGCGAUGUUUUUUGCACAACCUGAGUGUUUAACACUAAAUUUUCACAAGAAAGAUAUUCCUAAAAGGGUUCAACACGCCGCAUUUUCUGAUACCGAGUGGCCCAAAGAAGAGUCUGAAGCUUUAAGAUUCUUGGAGAAGCUGAAUAAUGUUCAUACCAUUUAUUUUCAAAUGGAAAAUGUGGCCCCUAGAAGCGAAUCAUUUGUUAAGGCAUGCAUCUUGAGAUUCAAAUGUAUACGGAGAUUGGAUUUACAAGACUCUAACUUUGAAGCAUUGCCUAAUUCUAUUGGUAGUCUGAAGCAUCUAAGAUACUUGAACCUAAGUGGGAAUAAGAGAAUCAAGAAACUCCCUAAUUCCAUUUGCAAGCUAUACCAUUUGCAAUUUUUGACACUCUUUGGUUGUUCAGAACUUGAAGAAUUACCAAGAGGCAUAUGGAGUAUGAUCAGUUUGAGGACGGUAUCUAUAACAAUGAAACAAAGGGAUUUAUUUGGAAAGGAAAAAGGGUUGAGAAGCUUGAAUUCUCUUCAACAUUUACAAAUUGUUGAUUGUCUCAAUUUGGAAUUUUUGUCUAAAGGAAUGGAAAGCCUUAUUCAACUUCGAAUAUUAGUCAUUAGCGAUUGUCCAAGUUUGGUUUCUUUGUCACAUAAUAUAAAAUUCUUGACUGCAUUAGAGGUGUUGGUAAUUGACAAUUGUCAAAAACUUGAAUCCAUGGAUGGGGAAGCAGAAGGGCAAGAAGACAUUCAAAGCUUUGGGAGCCUACAAAUUUUGUUCUUUGGUGAUUUACCACAAUUGGAGGCUUUACCGAGGUGGCUUCUUCAUGGGCCAACUUCUAACACUUUACAUCAAUUACAUAUUUCAAAUUGCCCAAGCUUGAGAGCAUUGCCAGAAAGUGGGUUGCAAAAGCUCGUAUACCUUCAAAAACUUGAGAUUGAAGAUUGUCCUGAAUUGAUUGGAAGAUGCAAAACUGAAACGGGGGAAGAUUGGCAAAAAAUCGCUCAUAUACCUAAAAUAUAUCUUGAUGGAGAAAAGAUUGCAUCGUUAACCAAUAAUUAGGUAAGGGAGAACUCUUAAAUUCUAGUUUAUUUUCUUAUUAAUUUCACACGGCACUUUGUUACCCUCAUUUAUCUAGUUCUGAUUUUUAAUUUUAUUCUUUUAGUAUGAAGUGUAAUCCUCAAUGCGUCAUUUGGUUUAAUUGGUUUUUUAGACAAAAUUUCUAUUAUGAUUUUUUAUAACAUUUAUAAAUCAAAGUUUAUUAUUUCUUUAGUAUAUAUAAUCUUAAGAAAGAAGGGAAAAAAAAAAUGAAGCACAGGCAACCAAAUAAACUUUGAUGGGUAUUUCCAUAUAGAGAGAGAGAUAUAUAAAUGUUGGAAAUAUUGUUACCACAUUUGUCAUUUCUUGUAUCUAAUCAAAUGUGGCUCUUCUGCUUUGAUUGGAUGAUGCGGUUGGAAGUUGGAAAUAUUGUUACUAGAGUCAGACUAGUCAUUUCUUUUAAGUAUCUAUUCAUCUCGUUGCCUUUUCUAUUGAGAAUGUUUAAUUUGUCGAUUUUCCAUGAUAUUAUGUUUGAAUCUGUUGUUGAUAUUGAGAUAUUGGCAAUUAAUGAAAGGUAGCAUAUGUUAAGGAUAAUAAUUUAUGCUCUGAAGAUGACCUCUCCCGGUUGCCCAUUCUUUAAUAGUGACAGAGGCCAUGCAUUCUCUUCUUCUAGUUGUCAAUUUCUUUCCAUAAAAUUUUAAUGAUAUUGGUCUUUCUAUCUUGUUGUUGGAAAAUAAAAAUACAAACAGGCGGACUGGGUAAGAAAUGGAGAGUUGACCUGGAAAUGGAGGACUAAUCAAAUAUGGUUCUUCUGCUAUGAUUGGAUGAUGCGGUUGGAAGUUGGAAGUUGGAAGAGAGUUGAUGGAGCUGGAAAUGGAGAACUGAUCAAAGCUAGUGUUUGGGUCCUUGCUUGCUUACCAGUCUUUUUCUUGAUUCUUGACUUGUUGCCUCAGUGCUGAAUUCUGGAGUGGUGUGCUUGUUUAUUAUUUGUCUUAUUUUCACAUAGACUCAUGUGUAAGGUUGUUUUGGUUGUUUGGAGUUUGGAGUGUGAACUUUGAUUUAGUUUACAAUAAAAGAUUGAUGGAUUCAUUUAUCAAUCAAAUAUAUGAAUGAUAAUAUACGAUUCUAAUUUAGUUUACACAUUAUUGGUAAAAUAUAAAUGACAAUACACGAUUUUGAUUUGCCCGUAUUCAUAAUUUCCUCCUCCAACAUUCUCUAUAUAUAUCAUGCAUGGACGCACAUAUAUAUGAAUACGAGAUUCUCCGCAUGUAUUCCGUGUCCUAAAAUCAAGGACUUUUUUGGCCAACAUAGGAGAGAAUUGAACUGGAACUGGAGUGACUAAUCAAGGCUACCGUUUGGAAUCAAAGCCACAACCUUGGUUUGGGAACACAGAGACUGAAUUAUCUAUCCUACUAUACUUUGAUGCCCUGCUUGGUUGCAAAAAUUUGCCUCUUUGACCUGGAGGAUGUUUCUUACAUACAUUUGAUUUUUUUUUCCUUUUUCUUUUUCUCUGCUCUAACCAAUAAAUUGGAACUUAGGAAAAAAAAUAUAUCUUCCUUCAAUCCAAGUCUCGAUUUCUGGCCAUGUUAAGAUUUUUUUGUCGAGCAACAUCCAAUCUUUGAAAGCAUGGUCUUCUUUUGAUUCUAAGCCCCUCAUAAUAUAAUUUUUUUUCUAAUUAAUGUGUUUAAAAAUGUUAAAGAGAAUGAUUUGUAAGAUAAUCUUAUUCAUUUUGGUAGCUAUUUUGAAAAACAUGUAAAAUAUUUUUUUCAAAAAUAAUUUUAUAAAAUUAGAGAUCAUAAAAUAAAAGAAAUUAAAAAAAUAAAUAUUUUUUUAAAUAAUUGGUUAAAAAAGAUGAAAUACUUUUCAUAUUUGUGAAUUUAUUAUUUUCUAUAUUUUUAUUUGAAGAGUAACUUAUUUUUUACAUAAAUAUCCUUUUUUAUUUCAAGUAUUUAUAAUAUAUUUUAAAAGAAAUAAUUAUUUUUACACGAAAACAAUAAAGGUAUUUUUAUCAAAAUUAGGCCAAAAAAAUUAUUAAGGGUUAUAUUUUCAAAAUUAGGUUUCCAAUAACCAAUAACCUUUUAAUUAAAUAAUCCAUAAUUUUCCCGAGAUGGUAUAUGACUUUAUUAGAGAUAGAAUUUCUUAUAUUAAGAAGAAAAUUUCAAAGUUUAAAAUUACAUUCGGGUGAGUAUCUACAAUUAAGAUAUAAAAUGCAAAUUUCUAAAAUGAUGUAAUGAGAACCAUUAUAUAAUAUCAUAGCUUUUCUAUUUUUACCCCUUAAAUUUGUAAGAAAAAAUUAUUUAUUUUGAGAAGUUGAUUUAUAAAACAAUUUCAGGUCUCAUGAUAAAAGUUUAUUCUUUCACAUUCUGUUUUACAAAGGCAAGUCCCAAAUACAAUCAAUAAAAUAUAAAUUAUAAAAAUAUGAUGUUGGGGUCAAUUGGAAUUUCAACUAAAUGACAAAUUUUUAGUACAAUUUGGAAAAAAAAAUGUUUUAUUCUAUAAAAGGAAUUGAAAAAAAAUUCAAACUUCUCAUAAGUGAAUGGAUUUAAUUUUAUGUUUUAAGAAAGAAAAAUCAUAAAUUGAAACUUAAUUAUUAAUGUUCCCCUUGUUUUAAUGAUUGAAAAAGUAACUUAUAAUCUCUAGAAGAAUUAUAAUAAAUUUAGUAAUAAUUUAUUAAAUAAUAUUUAUAAAAAUUGUAUUUAUUUAUAAUUAAAUUAAGACCUCUUAAGAUUUAGUGUAAAUACACUAAAAUAUCAAAAGUAUUAAAUUUUAUCAUUUAGGAUUCCUAUAAAUGUAUUUCAUAUAUAAAUUUUAUAUUUUAAAUAAUAAAAUUUAAUUUUUAGAGGACCGUUAAAUACUACUUUCCAAAAUAUUUUUACUUAAAAUCUCUCUGAAAAAGGUAAAUUUGGUAAAUAAAAUAAAUUUAUUAAAGUAUUAAUUGAUGAAAUUUAAAACCGAUCAUGAUUGAGACAAAACCGUAGGCUUGAGUGAAAUUAACCCUUAAACAAACCAAAAAAAAAAAAGUCUCUCCUCUUGUGAGCAUCAAUGAGUAUGGUCCAAGUGAGUCAAGUGACUUCCUUGGACAAUAAAAAAGUUUCCAAUGCUUUACACACGUCCCUUUAUUACUGGAUGAAUUGAUUAUAGGGACAGAAGCGUCAUUACAAUGUGUUAACAUUGACCCGAGCAUCGACUUUGCCAAGAAUCAUUUCAGAUCUCGGAUCUCUGAUUCUCAAUUUACCUUUCCCAUUCCCAAACAACCACCAUCGCCCAUCGCUAGCUCUUCAAUUCCCUGCUUCUCUGCAACAUGGUUGAAUCAUUUGCCUUUGCCAUAGCUGACAGAGUUUUGGGGAAGUUGGGCUCUGCCCUCAUCCAAGAAGUUGGCCUUGCCUGGGGUGUUAAAACCGAGCUGGAAGAGCUCAACGAUACUUUAUCCACCAUCCGAGCGGUGCUCUUAGAUGCUGAGGAGAAGCAAGCCACCAGCCAUCAGCUGAGAGAUUGGCUGGGAAAGCUCAAAGUUGGCUUUUAUGAUGCUGAAGAUAUUGUCGAUGAAUUUGAAUAUGAGGCCUUACGCCAGAAAGUGGUGGCUAGUGGGAGUUUUAAAACCAAGGUAUGCAGUUUCUUUUCAAGUCCAAAGUCACUUGCAUUCAAUCUUAAGAUGGGUCAUAGGGUGAAGAAGAUAAGAGGGAGAUUGGAUAAAAUUGCAGCUGAUAAGUCAAAAUUUAAUCUCAUCGAGGCUGUUGCAAACACGCCUGUUGUGCUAAGCAAGAGGGAGAUGACCCACUCCUUUGUCCGAGCUUCCGAUGUUAUCGGGAGAGACGAUGAUAAAGAAAAUAUUGUUGGGCUUUUGAUGCAACCUAGCGUUACUGAGAAUGUUUCUGUAAUUCCCAUAGUUGGGAUUGGGGGGCUAGGCAAGACAACUCUGGCUAAACUUGUGUAUAAUGA